Molecule: ribosomal RNA, 102 nt
Filed under: Gloeochaete wittrockiana
Lineage: Eukaryota; Glaucocystophyceae; Gloeochaetales; Gloeochaetaceae
Description: partial Bacterial small subunit ribosomal RNA
Source: RNAcentral
AACAACAGCAGCAGCAGCAGCAACAACAACAGCAAGGUGCACAACAACUCCAGCAAGAUGCAGAACUACAACACCAACAGUCCCCUCCAGCAGCUGCGUUUU